RNAcentral lists this ribosomal RNA (389 nucleotides) under uncultured bacterium. RNAcentral describes it as "bacterial SSU rRNA". It matches the Rfam family "Bacterial small subunit ribosomal RNA", at positions 28 to 418 of the family's 1533-position model. The record is from RNAcentral.
GACGAACGCUGGCGGCGUGCUUAACACAUGCAAGUCGAACGGUGACGGAGAGCUUGCUCUCCUGAUCAGUGGCGAACGGGUGAGUAACACGUGGGCAACCCGCCCACGACUUCGGGAUAACGCUUCGAAAGAGGUGCUAAUACCGGAUACGAGCUCCUUGGGCAUCCUUGGAGUUGGAAAGUUUUUACGGUCUGGGAUGGGCCCGCGGCCUAUCAGCUAGUUGGUGAGGUAACGGCUCACCAAGGCGACGACGGGUAGCCGGCCUGAGAGGGCGACCGGCCACACUGGGACUGAGACACGGCCCAGACUCCUACGGAGGCAGCAGUGGGGAAUAUUGCGCAAUGGGCGAAAGCCUGACGCAGCAACGCCGCGUGAGGGAUGACGGCCUU